AUGUGACCUCAAAUCAGGUAGGACUACCCGCUGAACUUAAGCAUAUCAAUAAGCGGAGGAAAAGAAACUAACAAGGAUUCCCCUAGUAACUGCGAGUGAAGCGGGAAAAGCUCAAAUUUAAAAUCUGGCAGUCUUUGGCUGUCCGAGUUGUAAUCUAGAGAAGUGUUAUCCGCGCUGGACCGUGUACAAGUCUCCUGGAAUGGAGCGUCAUAGAGGGUGAGAAUCCCGUCUUUGACACGGACUACCAGGGCUUUGUGAUACACUCUCAAAGAGUCGAGUUGUUUGGGAAUGCAGCUCAAAAUGGGUGGUAAAUUCCAUCUAAAGCUAAAUAUUGGCGAGAGACCGAUAGCGAACAAGUACCGUGAGGGAAAGAUGAAAAGAACUUUGGAAAGAGAGUUAAACAGUACGUGAAAUUGCUGAAAGGGAAACGCUUGAAGUCAGUCGCGUUGUCCAGGGAUCAACCUUGCUUUUGCUUGGUGUACUUUCUGGUUAACGGGUCAGCAUCAAUUUUGACUGUUGGAAAAAGAUUAGGGGAAUGUGGCAUCUUUGGAUGUGUUAUAGCCCUUGGUUGUAUACAAUGGUUGGGAUUGAGGAACUCAGCACGCCGAAAGGCCGGGUUUUUAACCACGUACGUGCUUAGGAUGCUGGCAUAAUGGCUUUAAUCGACCCGUCUUGAAACACGGACCAAGGAGUCUAACAUGCCUGCGAGUGUUUGGGUGGAAAACUCGAGCGCGUAAUGAAAGUGAAAGUUGAGAUCCCUGUCAUGGGGAGCAUCGACACCCGGACCAGACCUUUUGUGACGGUUCCGCGGUAGAGCAUGUAUGUUGGGACCCGAAAGAUGGUGAACUAUGCCUGAAUAGGGUGAAGCCAGAGGAAACUCUGGUGGAGGCUCGUAGCGAUUCUGACGUGCAAAUCGAUCGUCAAAUUUGGGUAUAGGGGCGAAAGACUAAUCGAACCAUCUAGUAGCUGGUUCCUGCCGAA
This 981-nucleotide ribosomal RNA is filed under the name Cortinarius sp. PDD 107713. RNAcentral's name for it is "eukaryotic LSU rRNA". It matches the Rfam family "Eukaryotic large subunit ribosomal RNA", at positions 1 to 965 of the family's 3401-position model. The record is from RNAcentral. Lineage: Eukaryota; Fungi; Basidiomycota; Agaricomycetes; Agaricales; Cortinariaceae.